Long non-coding RNA from Patella vulgata (common limpet), 4221 nucleotides. RefSeq lists it as uncharacterized. The transcript is spliced from 3 exons. The record is from RefSeq and is a predicted model, not a curated record. NCBI's taxonomy places the organism in Eukaryota, Metazoa, Mollusca, Gastropoda, Patellidae.
CUCUAUUGUUGAAGAGCAGAAAAUUUUCAGAAUGGUUUAAGAGAUUGAAUGCUCUAUUUUUUCAUUCAGUGUGAAAGAAUGCAUUCAUCGGACGAAAACUCCACGGAUGAUUCAGACUGUGGAAAUGUCAGCUACUGUGAGAUGGAAAACGACAAGGAUGAUACUCAAAAUAUAUCAAAGAAUGAUGCAGUUCUUAAUUUUCUAGCCAUCUUUAGCUUUAGUUUAUUCAUCGGCCUUUUUCUACUUCAAGCCAAUAUAGCGUGGCGAUCAUAUCAGUCUUUAAAUUACCUAUCAGGAAGACGUUCACCCGAAGAUGUUCUGGAGAUGUAUUUUGAUUACAAUGUUUGGGGUCGUGAUAUGAACGGUGUGGAUCUGAAAGUGAAUACCAGUAUAUUUGUUCACUGAGAGAGACUUGAACUUUGAUCUGAGAUAGAUAAAAACUACAUGCAACUGCUGAUUUAAUAGAUCCAACAUAUGAGAAUAAAUUAAAAGGAUGUAUUCAAUGUAAAGUAGUGGACAAUUACUAAAAAUAAUGAUCAUUUGGAGUUGAUUUUGUAAUGCCAUCUUAAAUUAGCAGUAAAGAUAAAAUAAUUCUGAAUCCAUUCCAAUCGAAGCUAGGAAAUUAUUCAUACAUUUUUGUGCUUGGAUCAUCUUGGUCAUUGCAAUAAAAAGUAUAAUACUUUAAAUUGGUAUAUAUUGCUGACUUUUUAGAUAUUUCAGGGCAAUCUUACAUACAUGUAUUAUUUUGUCUUAAUGGCACUUUGUGUUGUGGUUUUGCAUAAACUGACCUGCUGUAAAGGAAUCUUAAUUUAAUCAGUUGUAGCUGUUCGGAAUACAGAUCAGAUCAAUCACUUUUAGAACUAAAGGUGCCAAAAUAAAGGUUAAAUAUAGGAUUUAAGAACAUACUUAGUCAAAAGUUCUUUUAUUUGACCCCCCCCCCCCCCCACAUAUUUUUUCUAAAAAUGAUGACAAUCAAAUAACUCAAACUGAAAGCAGCAUUAUGGAAGAUCAGAUAAAAACCAGACAGUUCUCGCAAUAAUAGUUUAAAAAUACUAAUAAUGUAGCCUCGAUUGUCAUUGUUACCGUUGUUAUGAUAAUAAACAAAGUCUCGAUCAUCCAUUUUUACAGUUAAUCAUAAGCAGCCGUUGAACCGCAGAUCAGAUUAAAGUCUGUUUAAAAUCUUAUCCAUCAGAUGGUGUCGAGAGUUGAUUAUGGUCUUGUCAUGUUAAUAAAUGUCUAAUUAAUAGUUUAUAAAACAUUUAAGGCCUAAAGAAAGACCUGCAAUAGGCAGAUUUAGCUCUUGUAUAAUGUAUGUUUAAACAUGCAUUAUGCAAGAGCCAAAAUACGUCUAUUGCGGGUCUUUCUUUAAUUAACUUAUCACGACCAUAAUCAAGUCUUGAUGCCAUCGUUAGCCUGCGAUAUUUAGUGGAUCUGAGUAUGUUUUUUGAUGGAUGAUUUGACGUUAAAAUGGAUAAUUAGGACUUUGGUUAUUAUCGUACGAACAGUAGUAAUGAAUCGCUAAUAUCUCGGUUCAGAGUGAAGCAAUUUGACUGAAAUUGUCAGCAUAUUAUCUAUUUUUUAACUAUUAUAGUGAGAACUGUCAGCUCUUUAUCUUAUCUUACCUAAUUCUCCUAUUUAAAGCUAAUUCUUCUAUGAUAGCUAUUUAACAUAUUUUUGAGUUUGCCUUUUUGUUCAGAAAUACAAUUUCACAGACAGAACUACGGCAAUGAUCUUACUGGUUUAUGGAAAAGUGAAGAAAAAUUUGGGGAUAUUUGGACAUAAACGUGACACUUUCCUAUGUAAUUAUGGAAUACAGUUACCAGUACUGUUUAUUACUGACUGACGUAUCAACUAGUAUUGUCUAGUCGUUAUCAAGAAGACAAUAAAUGUCACUCAGAAAUAAACAGUACCGGUAAUUGUAAAUUCAAUAGAGUUAUGUCGUUUGUAUAUAGUUCAGUUACUAAAUACCAUUGAAACAUGAUACACAUGUAAGAGAGUAAGAAACCUGUUAAAUUUUACAUUUACAUUGCUAUUUAUUUUUUGUUUUUCUUUGAAUUUAUUGUAAAUAUACAUGUAAUAUAUUUAAAACAGAAUAUUUUGUAAGUAAAAAAUCAACUAAUGUAUUUGAAUAUGAAUGACUGUGCUAAGAAGAGGAUUUAUUAUACAUGUAAUGUACUAAAUUGUUUAAAUAUUAAAACUGAUACAUGUUUAAUGUAAUAAGGACUGGAUAAUGAAUGUCGAUAUAAUAUAGUCAUAUAUUAAAGAAGUAGUCUGGCCAUUACAGACUUAUUAUAUAUUUGAUUCUUUAUCUAGUAUUAAAGAGUUACAACAAUGCAUAACCCGAGUUAAAAAUCGUCCCUGUUAAUAAAAUAAUUAACACAUGCUGUAAUGUUGUGAGAGGAACUAUCAUCCACAUUAAAUAAAAAAUACAGCUGCACAUACAUGUAUGUGAUGAGCUUCAGUGUUAGUUUUCAAAUUAAAGACAAAAAACAUCUGUAUUUUGGGUUGAACAUAGUUAAAACUAUUUAAUAUUGAAUAAUUAAUAAAACAUAAAAAGUCUGCAAUGGGUUGAGUUCUCCUUUAAUUCAUAGUUACAAUAUAUAUGAAUACCUAUCGAUAAAGUGCUCUUAAAAAUCUCAUUAUUCUAUGAAUAAUUAUGUUAUCUAUGUUGCUUUAAUUAAUUAUUAAUUGUAACACUAUGAAUUAGAAUAGAUCUUAUAAUGAUGUGGCAUUUAUGUACAUCAAGAGAUGAGCUUCAAUUUAUUAAAAAAUUUCUAAAACUGAAUACAUGGUAGUAAUUUACAUAUUUUUCAAGUUGGGGUAGUUUCUUACUUUAAAGUGAAUUCAGUCCCAAGUUAAUUGAAAAAGUUAAAAUAGUACACAUUUUUAAUAAAUAAUUCUGGCCAAUCUGGUAAAAUAAAAGUCAUUUAGAAAUAUUUUAAGGGAAAUAUUGUGUAGUUUGUCUAUUUUAAAGGUGCAAUCUAUAUAUUACCGUAGUUUAUUUUUUACAUUAAUUUGCAAAUCAAUAACUUUACCAUGUGAAGACCUAUCACAUAUUAAUGAGAAUUGGUUUUUGACACCAUUAUUUUUAUGUAUUGAUUUAUGUACAAGGUAGGUGGUCUUUGAUACAGAAAUGUUUUGUUUUUCAAAACAUCAAGGCUAACAAGUGGAUUUUCUGUGUAACAGGCCGUUUAUUUACAUCAGAAAAAUCAACAGGGUGUAUUUAACUUCAGAAGUAAUGAAAAAAAAAUAUUGUAUAUGUAAAUACAAAAUUUGUCAAUGUUUUUAUGCAUGAUAAUGUACAGAAUUGCUUUGAUAUUCUUGAACAAUUUCUUAAACAAUUCUUGAUUAAAGCGACUUAUUCACUUUGCUCUGAAUUAGAAACAGUUAAAUCCAAAGCUUGCAUCAAAUCUAAAAUAAAUUUGGUAGGUUCUAAUUGGAUCCAAAAUCAUUUAAUUCUUACCCAAAACCGAAAUGUCUGCCAAAAAAGAAAUAAUGAAAUCUUUGAAGUUUGUUAGUUAUGAAAUCGGAUUGUUUUGGAUUGGACUCGGUUCGAAUACAAGACCUUUAGUUUGUUAAUACAACUACUGAAAGAUGAAGAAAAAAUAAUAGAAGUUAGAAUAAAAUAUCAACGUGUAACCAAAGGUAUUAAUUCUGAUACCACUGUAUUCUAGUCUACUAAUGUUAUAGUUGGGUAGCCGAUCAGAAUCGUGGACAACACAAUUAUAUAUGUGUGUGUACAAGAAUAUGUAAUGAGGUCAAUAAGGAUAGUGCAAGGUGAACAUAAAGCAGCAUGAAAACUUUCCACAUAUAGCUAAUACUGAUUUUUUUAUUGAUUUUUUUUUAGUGUUGUAUACUUUAUGCAAACUUUACAACUUGACUCCUUAACUACUGCUUACAUGGUGUUGUGAAUGUUUUAUAUUUUCUAAUUUUGAAUUGAAAUAAGCUUGGCUCAUCUGACAUGAGAAUGGAUAUUUUUUACAGGAACAAGUGCAGAAAGGAGAACAGUUCAGAUAAAUGAUUCAUACAGUUAUUAGAGCAUUCAUAGUUUUAAGUUAUGGUAGUCAUUGAGUUGUAAGGUAGCCAUAUACUUCAGUCUAUAAAUACACCUAAUUGAGUAUAAGCUAGCUAUUGUGAUAUUUAUAACAUUGUCAGAUUAAAUAAUAUGUAUAAUGCAUGUACCAGAAAUAUAUUUAAUUAUAUAAAAAGAAUUACAAAUCA